GGGCAAGUCUUAUACGACCAGCUCCUACUAAACUCCCCCAGGUGUGGAAGCAAGCAAGGGUAAGGUGGUUGUAGCGGUGCGAUAUAAGUAGCUUGCCCUUU
RNAcentral lists this signal recognition particle RNA (101 nucleotides) under Bacteroidetes bacterium HGW-Bacteroidetes-15. RNAcentral's name for it is "signal recognition particle sRNA small type". It matches the Rfam family "Bacteroidales small SRP". From Rfam's summary of the family: The non-coding component of the signal recognition particle in Bacteroides Lineage: Bacteria; Pseudomonadati; Bacteroidota. The record is from RNAcentral.